RNAcentral lists this non-coding RNA (21 nucleotides) under Caenorhabditis elegans. The record is from RNAcentral. Lineage: Eukaryota; Metazoa; Nematoda; Chromadorea; Rhabditida; Rhabditidae.
UAGGAAAUUCGAGUUCUAUCA